This 73-nucleotide transfer RNA is filed under the name Mariprofundus ferrinatatus. It matches the Rfam family "tRNA". From Rfam's summary of the family: Transfer RNA (tRNA) molecules are approximately 80 nucleotides in length. The record is from Rfam by way of RNAcentral. Lineage: Bacteria; Pseudomonadati; Pseudomonadota; Candidatius Mariprofundia; Mariprofundales; Mariprofundaceae.
GCCGAUGUAGCUCAGUUGGUAGAGCAGCUCACUCGUAAUGAGCAGGUCAGCGGUUCAAAUCCGCUCAUCGGCU